Molecule: ribosomal RNA, 467 nt
Filed under: uncultured bacterium
Lineage: Bacteria
Description: partial 16S ribosomal RNA
Rfam family: Bacterial small subunit ribosomal RNA
Source: RNAcentral
GAUGAACGCUGGCGGCGUGCUUAACACAUGCAAGUCGAACGGUGAAGGCGCUGCUUUCUCUGCUGUAUCAGUGGCGAACGGGUGAGUAACUCGUGAGCAAUCUGCCUCUGACUUUGGGAUAAGCGCUGGAAACGGCGUCUAAUACUGGAUACGAGCUGCGUAGGCAUCUUCAGCAGCUGGAAAGAACUUCGGUCAGGUAUGAGCUCGCGGCCUAUCAUGUUGUUGGUGAGGUAACGCCUCACAAAGGCGUCGACGGGUAGCAGGGCUGGGAGGGUGACCGGCCACACUGGAGAUGAGGAACGGCCGAGACUCCUGCGGGGGGUAGAAGUGGGGAAUAAUGCAGAAUGGGCGAAGGCGUGAUGGAGAAACGCCGCGUGGGGGAGGACGGCCUUCGGGUGGUAAACCUCUUUUAGCAGGGAAGAGGCGAAAGGGAGGGUACCUGAAGAAAAAGCGCGGGCUAACUAGGG